UACGGGGGGGGGCAAGCGUUGUUCGGAAUUACUGGGCGUAAAGGGCGCGUAGGCGGCCUUCUAAGUCAGACGUGAAAUCCCUCGGCUCAACCGAGGAACUGCGUCUGAUACUGAAAGGCUUGAAUUCGGGAGAGGGAUGCGGAAUUCCAGGUGUAGCGGUGAAAUGCGUAGAUAUCUGGAGGAACACCGGUGGCGAAGGCGGCAUCCUGGACCGAUAUUGACGCUGAGGCGCGAAAGCCAGGGGAGCAAACGGG
RNAcentral lists this ribosomal RNA (254 nucleotides) under uncultured bacterium. Its description in RNAcentral is "partial 16S ribosomal RNA". It matches the Rfam family "Bacterial small subunit ribosomal RNA", at positions 524 to 776 of the family's 1533-position model. The record is from RNAcentral.